AUCGAAACGGAUUUUUUUUAUUUUUCAUCCAAAACCGAACCAAACCAUAGAUAAAAUUAGAAAUUUUUUUUUUCUACCCCAACAAUUGUCAAUCUACCCCAACAUUAAUUUUGAAUGGACGAAUUUGUCCUUAUAUAUAAACUAAAAUCAUAAAGAAAAAAAUUUGGUUAUUUACACACUUUGAAAAAAAGUAUGUAGGUAUGUAAAACUCUAAAUAUAUUUUGUUACCUAAACACUUUGGAAAAAAAGUGUUCAGGUAUGAUAAAUUUUUCAUCACAAUCUUCUUUUUCCAUGGUUGGUGUUCUCAUUGCAUCACUCAAAGAUUUUGUCACUCACAAUCAACACAUACUGCUUCUUUCUCCUCUGUUUCAUCCUCUGAUUUUUCUUCUUUAGCAUAUUAUGUAUCCAAUAUUUUCAUUUACAUCUAUGCCGCCAUCAUCAACCCACCACCAUCUUCUUAUUUGUCUUCCUUGUCAAAAUUUGUAGCAGUUUGAAUUGUCAAAAAAACAUAUGCGAAGAUGGUCGUGAAUUCUAUCACUGUGCUGCAAAUUGUAUUAUGGGUUUGAGGAAAAUUGUUGAAAAUUAUGGGUUUUCCAGGUCGUUUUGAAAUUAUGGGUUUGAGGGAAAUUGUAUGCAAUUUAUCUACACAAUUCAUAAAUCUCAAAAAGAAAAUAGAGGGAUUUUAUAUCUGCUACCGGAGACAGGUGACGAAGAACAAAGCAACAGUGGCGGCUAGCAGUUAGCGGCAGAGUAAUUAGAUAGUUUUCUGGUAAAUGGUAUGUGGGGGUGAAGAUGUUUUCUGAAAAGGGUAAAGUUGAAAAUUACUUUUGAAUGUAGGGGUAAAGGUAUAAAUGUUGGGGUAGAAAAAAAAAUUUCCCCAUAACUUAUGCCGUUUUCUUGUAGUGUUACUGUUUUUCUUUUCUAAAAUAUCUUAUAUGAAUUGGCAUAUCUAAUAAUAAUUUUCAUUCCUUCAUGUAUAAUUUGUGGAAUCAUGGUCAUCCAUAUAAAUAAUCAAUAGUACUAAAAUUUCUUUUUUUGGUUACACAAUAUUAAAAUUUCGUUACCUAUCAUAAUUUUCUCAAAUUUAUUUGUUGUAGCCUGUAGGGACGUCAUUGUGUCCUUUUUUGUCUUUUUCUAGUAGG
This 1142-nucleotide long non-coding RNA is filed under the name Trifolium pratense (red clover). Its description in RNAcentral is "long non-coding RNA (TPRA_LNC000698)". Lineage: Eukaryota; Viridiplantae; Streptophyta; Magnoliopsida; Fabales; Fabaceae. The record is from RNAcentral.